CUAGAUAUUUUCUGUGGAUACUGUAAGUACAUUAAAUAAUUAGAAUGUUAAUUACACGUUAGGUAUAUGAUAAUCAGGAAAUCAGGACAAGUUAGUAUUACCCCGAGAGGGAAUUCAUGGACAGGAUAACAAUCAAGAUUAUUAAUUUAAGUCAAGAAAGUCAAUCAAUUAUGGUGGUUACUUAUGUACCACGUUAUGGGAUUCGUUAGAAUCCAAUCAUGUUAUGAUUGUGAGCUUCAGCCGUGUCGAUGUACAUUAUUAUCGCAGACGGACAUGUCAGGCCUCUGAGACCGGCUCACCUCAGAGUGUCUUUGUUAUGAAUAAAACGAACAAGAUAAAUAAUUUGUGUUACACCUUUAUGUAUUACGUUAUGAAAUUAUGCUAUGUAAAUCAUGUUUAGAGAUUGACUAUCAGGAUCAAGGAACAUUAGUUCAUCAGUAGCCCCGGUGUAGACACCGAUAGUAAUUGGGUAGUAGGAAUCCACUGAGACGAAGUGACUGUCUCAUCCCCCACUUAUUUGAUUUCAGAUAAACAGGUUGAUCGAGAUAUGAUGGUCUGCAAGCAUGGAGUUUAGGUGCUUGGAUUAUGCUAGUUGAGCUGACAUCAUGUUAUCUUAUAUUUUGUAUAAGAUUUAGUUUCUUUAUGUUUUCAGUUGUUAGCUCAAUUUAGUAUUAAUCUCUUGAAUUCUAUAAUCCUAUUUAUGUAUUCGGACGAUAUGUAAUAAAAAUUUAAUAUUUCCCGAUUCAGUUAUGUACACUCUUGUCGAUAUUCUAGAUAAAUCGAUAUGGGGCGUUAUAGAUAUGAUCAUUGAACUGACUAAGCUUAGAAUUUCUAAUGGUCGAUGUUAUCUUAAACUGUCAAUAGAAAUUCUAAAGAAGAAAUAUAAUAAUUUUUCUUUGACCUGAGAUUAACAUAGUAAUU
RNAcentral lists this long non-coding RNA (921 nucleotides) under Trifolium pratense (red clover). RNAcentral's name for it is "long non-coding RNA (TPRA_LNC005505)". Lineage: Eukaryota; Viridiplantae; Streptophyta; Magnoliopsida; Fabales; Fabaceae. The record is from RNAcentral.